UGUUGAGCAUGAAGAAUCAGUGAAUAAAGUAGUCAUAGAGAGACCAAAGACUAUAAGUCUUGCUAAAACGAUCAGCGAGAAGAAAAGUAUGGAACCAGUGACAAGCAAAAAAAUUGGUAAGUAUAUAGCAAGGGGCAAAGGCAGAAAAGUAAUUACUCAACAAAGUCAGCAAGUAGUGAUAAGAAAAAAAAAGAAAAAAUACUUGAGAAACCUAGGGAUCAAAGAAUUUCUAAGAAAUCUUUUGAGGAUGAAGACUACACCCCAUAUAGUGAUAGUG
RNAcentral lists this long non-coding RNA (277 nucleotides) under Elaeis guineensis (African oil palm). RNAcentral's name for it is "long non-coding RNA (EGUI_LNC035180)". Lineage: Eukaryota; Viridiplantae; Streptophyta; Magnoliopsida; Arecales; Arecaceae. The record is from RNAcentral.